RNAcentral lists this ribosomal RNA (2091 nucleotides) under Holosporaceae bacterium. RNAcentral describes it as "partial 23S ribosomal RNA". It matches the Rfam family "Bacterial large subunit ribosomal RNA", at positions 1 to 2014 of the family's 2925-position model. Lineage: Bacteria; Pseudomonadati; Pseudomonadota; Alphaproteobacteria; Holosporales; Holosporaceae. The record is from RNAcentral.
GGUCAAGCAAUGAAGGGCAUAAGGCGGAUGCCUUGGCACUGGGAGCCGAAGAAGGACGCGACAAGCUGCGAUAAUCCGCGGGGAGGGGCAAAUGCCCGGCGAUCCGCGGGUCUCCGAAUGAGGGAACUCGCCUGCGGCAACGCGCAGGCGCCGCGGGCCGAACAGAAUAGGCCCGCAGGAGGCAACCCGGGGAACUGAAACAUCUAAGUACCCGGAGGAAAGGAAAGAAAAAUCGAUUCCCCGAGUAGCGGCGAGCGAAAGGGGAGGAGCCCAAACCGAGCCCGAUGGGCGAGGGGUUGAGGGCCGCCAAUGGAAAGCCACGCGCGGGCAUAGCCGAACAGGCCUGGAAAGGCCGGCCGCAGGGGGUAACGGCCCCGUAGGCGAAAUGCGCGGCGCGGGCAGGGCGGCGCCAGAGUACCGCAGGGCACGUGAAACCCGGCGGGAAGCAGGGGGGACCACCCCCCAAGGCUAAACACUACCCAGUGACCGAUAGAGAACAGUACCGUGAGGGAAAGGUGAAAAGAACCCCGGGAGGGGAGUGAAACAGAACCUGAAACCUUAUGCCUACAAGCAAAGGGAGCGAGAGUGACCUUGUACUUUUUGUAGAACGGGCCAACGAGUCGCGCUGCGCGGCAAGGUUAAGGCGCUGGAGCGCCGGAGCCGGAGCGAAAGCGAGCCUCAAAAGGGCGUGCGAGUCGCGCGGCGCGGACCCGAAACCGGGUGACCUACCCAUGCGCAGGCCGAAGCGGGAGUAAAGUCCCGUGGAGGGCCGCACCCAUGUCUGUUGAAAAAGGCUGGGAUGACGUGUGGGUAGCGGUGAAAUUCCAAUCGAACCCGGAUAUAGCUGGUUCUCCCCGAAAUAGCUUUGGGGCUAGCCUCGAGCAGAGAAUCCCGGAGGUAGGGCGCUGAAUGUUCUAGGGGCCUUCACCGGUUACCGAAAACUAUCAAACCGCGAAUGCCGGGAUGUCUUGCGCGGGAGUCAGACCGCGGGAGAUAAGUUCCGCGGUCGAGAGGGAAACAGCCCAGACCAACAGCCAAGGCCCCAAAAUGCAGGUUAAGUGGGAAAGGAAGUGGGGACGCGAAGACAGCCAGGAUGUUGGCUCAGAAGCAGCCACGCAUUCAAAGAGUGCGUAACAGCUCACUGGCCGAGUGUCCCCGCGCCGAAGAUGAACGGGGCUCAAACCUGCUGCCGAAGCUUUGGGGCGGCGCAUGCGCGCCGCCGGUAGGGGAGCGUCGCAUGGGGGGCGAAGGCGGGCCGUGAGGCCGGCUGGACCCCAUGCGAGGGAGAAUGUUGGCAUGAGUAGCGCAAGGCAGGUGGGAAUCCUGCCCGCCGAAUAUCCAAGGUUUCCUGAGGAAGGUUCGUCCUCUCAGGGUCAGUCGGGGCCUAAGCCGAGGGCGAGAGCCGUAGGCGAUGGACAACAGGCUGAGAUUCCUGUACCGCCGAAAGCCGUCAGAGCGAAGCGGGGACACAGAAGGACAGGCAGAGCGCGCCGCUGGUAGAGCGCGUCCAAGCGCCGAGCGGGGGGGGGCAGGCAAAUCCGCCCCCCCAUCAAACCGCAAGACGCGACGGGGAGGGAAAUCAAGUACCGAAGCUGCCGCGUUCACGCUGUCGAGAAAAGCCGCUAGCGAGGCCGUAGGCGCCCGUACCGCAGACCGACACAGGUGGAUGAGGAGAGGAUCCUAAGGCGAGCGAGAGAACUAUUGUUAAGGAACUCGGCAAAAUGACCCCGUAACUUCGGGAGAAGGGGCGCCACGCAAGCGUGGCCGCAGUGAAAUGGCCCAGGCGACUGUUUACCAAAAACACAGGUCUCUGCGAAAGCGAAAGCUGACAUAUAGGGGCUGACGCCUGCCCGGUGCCGGAAGGUUAAGGGGAAGUGUGAGCUGCGUUACCGAGCGCAUGAACAUAGAUGUUCGAAGAAAAGGCCAAUCGGAAGCGAUAGGCAAGAAAGGACGAAUUCAUGUGUUGGGUAACGCAGCGAAGCACAGAACUUAAGCCCCGGUAAACGGCGGCCGUAACUAUAACGGUCCUAAGGUAGCGAAAUUCCUUGUCGGGUAAGUUCCGACCCGCACGAAAGGCGUAACGAUCUGGGC